Long non-coding RNA from Gossypium raimondii (Peruvian cotton), 1848 nucleotides. RefSeq lists it as uncharacterized. The record is from RefSeq and is a predicted model, not a curated record. Lineage: Eukaryota; Viridiplantae; Streptophyta; Magnoliopsida; Malvales; Malvaceae. The transcript is spliced from 2 exons.
GUUAAGUGAUUAUUUUUUAAGUCACUGGUAAACUGGUAACGUUGUUUACCCCCAAAAAAAAAGUAUUCGAAGCUCAGUAGGACUAUAACUUCACUCAACAAACUUCCAUUAAUAAGAAGCUGUGGUUUAUGCGCAACAAUAAGCUGAGAUGAUCAAAAAAUUUGCUUCAAAUAUGAGGUACUUAGUCAAAUUCCAGCACUUUCUUUCACAAUCAGUGAUUCGCCUCCAUUUCUCGAGACUUAAGCUUCGUCCCCUUCGAUUUUCAACACUCUCCAAAUCAUCCAAACCAACGAAGAAAGCCCCACAAGCUAACUUGAAGAGCCAAGCUGAAACUGGUACCAUCCCAUCACUCUUCCAAGAAAUAACUGACAUUUUAGGUGUUGUUAAUGUAACCUCAGAUGAAACCAAAUUUGGGUUUUCGAUAACCCCACGAACCAAUGCCAAGGAGCUUGAGUUUAUAGAACAAUCUUUGGCUAGAAGGCCAGGUGUUUGUCAAAAUGCCUCACUUAGCUAUGGAAUUUUACAAGGAGAUGGUUGAGAAGGAAAUCAGCCUUGAUUUGAAUUAAGGAAGAAUUAUUAAAGUAAUCCUGUUGAUGUGGUUUCUGGCAAUGGUGUUUCAUCAAGUUCAGAACAAGAUGUAUGGUCUGCUGUACAAGAAAGAGCACUGAUUCGGCUCUGAAGACAUUCCCAAAGGAAACCAGUCAGCGUUGGGAACGAGUAGCCACUGCUGUUCCCGGGAAGACUGUAAACCAAUGCAAGAAAAAAUUUGCAUUACUGAAGGAAAACUUUAGAAGCAAGAGAAGCACAGCUUAGUCACUUGAUUAAAUACCAAGGGGGCCGAGAAGUGAUAUAUCUUAAAGAGGGAGUCGUCUUAACACAUCUUGGAACCUGCCUGAGCUACAACAUAUGUGUAACGAAACCAACCUCUCUUCUUAGUUCCUACAUUCUGACUUCUGCUAGGCAAUAUUUGGUUUCGCCAUAACAAAUGUUUUCUACAGCAAUUAGCUUUAUAUAUUGAUAUAAAAUAUACUAUUUCUCAUUGAUUUUGUAUGGAGCAGUAUUUCCAUCAACGUGGUUUGUUUAUGUAUUUCUGGAAGAAUUAAGGAAGCUUUAGAAUUGAUUCGGGACCUUAAGAAUAAAGGGUUGUCUUUGGACCCCCGUUAUUUUGAGAUUCUGAUUAAAGGACUGUGCAGGGCCGAUAGGAUUGCCGAUGCCUUGGAAAUCCUCGAUAUUAUGAAGACAAGACAACUGGUUAGUGAGAAGGUUUAUGAGAUUAUCAUCAAUGGGCACUUAAGAAGAAAUGACCUUUCCAAGGCACUUGAUCUUUUCCAAAGCAUUAAGGAAUCCGGGUUAUGUUGGCUAAAACCGUAUAUCCGAAGCAUGGAAAGUAUUCAAUUCGAUGGAGGAGAGGGGCAUCCGACCUACUUGGAAAGCAUAUUUAGUAUUCAUUAAGGAGCUUGGAAAAGUUGGAAGGACAGAUGAAAUUUUUCGGGUUUUAUUCGAAAUGAAGGAGGCAAAGAUAGGUAUUCGAGAUGAGAUAUUUUGUUUGGUUGUAUCUUGCAUGGAGAGGAGCAGAGAGACGGAUAAUGUUGAAAAAGUAAAGCAAAUGCGGAAGAGGUUGAAAUUAUAUAUUUCACUAACCAGUCACUCCCUUUCAAAUGCAUUCAACAAGCAGGACAUGACAACAUUAUAGAGACAGGACCAAGUGCACUCCCUUUCAAAUGCAUUCAACAAGCAGGACAUGGAAGAAGUGCAUAGAAUAUUAUCAUCCUCGAAGGAUUGGACCAACUAAUAUGCAUGUCAAAGACAACAUCAAUUAGAAUGAAAAAGUUUUACAGUUUUCUACAA